This 497-nucleotide ribosomal RNA is filed under the name uncultured bacterium. RNAcentral describes it as "partial 16S ribosomal RNA". It matches the Rfam family "Bacterial small subunit ribosomal RNA", at positions 28 to 507 of the family's 1533-position model. The record is from RNAcentral.
GACGAACGCUGGCGGCGUGCCUAAUACAUGCAAGUUGAGCGCUGAAGGUUGGUACUUGUACCAACUGGAUGAGCAGCGAACGGGUGAGUAACGCGUGGGGAAUCUGCCUUUGAGCGGGGGACAACAUUUGGAAACGAAUGCUAAUACCGCAUAAAAACUUUAAACACAAGUUUUAAGUUUGAAAGAUGCAAUUGCAUCACUCAAAGAUGAUCCCGCGUUGUAUUAGCUAGUUGGUGAGGUAAAGGCUCACCAAGGCGAUGAUACAUAGCCGACCUGAGAGGGUGAGCGGCCACAUUGGGACGGAGACACGGCCCAAACGCCUACGGGAGGCAGCAGUAGGGAAUCUUCGGCAAUGGACGAAAGUCUGACCGAGCAACGCCGCGGGAGUGAAGAAGGUUUUCGGAUCGUAAAACUCGGUUGGUAGAGAAGAACGUUGGUGAGAGUGGAAAGCUCAUCAAGUGACGGUAACUACCCAGAAAGGGACGGCUAACUACGUG